GUCACAGUAUAGCGCAGAAUAUUGCAAUGUGUUUGAAAUCACUGUAAUAUAGUAUUGUGGCAUAAGUAUCGUGAUGAUAUCGUAUCGAGAGG
Long non-coding RNA from Etheostoma spectabile (orangethroat darter), 92 nucleotides. RefSeq lists it as uncharacterized. The record is from RefSeq and is a predicted model, not a curated record. The transcript has 3 exons. Lineage: Eukaryota; Metazoa; Chordata; Actinopteri; Perciformes; Percidae.